RNAcentral lists this ribosomal RNA (384 nucleotides) under uncultured bacterium. RNAcentral describes it as "bacterial SSU rRNA". It matches the Rfam family "Bacterial small subunit ribosomal RNA", at positions 29 to 414 of the family's 1533-position model. The record is from RNAcentral.
AUUGACGCUGGCGGCAUGCCUUACACAUGCAAGUCGAACGGCAGCACGGGAGCAAUCCUGGUGGCGAGUGGCGAACGGGUGAGUAAUAUAUCGGAACGUGCCCAGUCGUGGGGAUAACGUAGCGAAAGCUACGCUAAUACCGCAUACGAUCUAUGGAUGAAAGCGGGGGGAUCGCAAGACCUCGCGCGAUUGGAGCGGCCGAUAUCAGAUUAGGUAGUUGGUGAGGUAAAGGCUCGCCAAGCCGACGAUCUGUAGCUGGUCUGAGAGGACGACCAGCCACACUGGGACUGAGACACGGCCCAGACUUCCACGGGAGGCAGCAGUGGGGAAUUUUGGACAAUGGGCGGCAAGCCUUGAUCCAGCAAUGCGCGUGCAGGAUGAAGG